Molecule: ribosomal RNA, 241 nt
Filed under: uncultured bacterium
Lineage: Bacteria
Description: partial 16S ribosomal RNA
Rfam family: Bacterial small subunit ribosomal RNA
Source: RNAcentral
UCGAGCGGGUUUAGACCCGCGGCAAACGGGUGAGUAAUACCCAGGAACGUACCUUUAGUUGAGCAUAACCCACCGAAAGGUGGAGCAAUUCUCAAUGUGAUCGCAAGAUUAAAGCAGCAAUGCGCUAAAGAAGCGGCCUGGGCACCAUCAGCUAGUUGGUAAGGUAAAAGCUUACCAAGGCUAUGACGGUUAGGGGCCCCGAGAGGGGAAACCUCCACACUGGAACUGAGACACGGUCCAG